Molecule: ribosomal RNA, 487 nt
Filed under: Afroanthracites viridis
Lineage: Eukaryota; Metazoa; Arthropoda; Insecta; Orthoptera; Tettigoniidae
Description: partial 16S ribosomal RNA
Rfam family: Bacterial large subunit ribosomal RNA (bases 177-487)
Source: RNAcentral
AAGUCGGGCCUGCCCACUGAGUAAGCGACGGGCCUGGGUAUUUUGUUUUUGCGUAGGGAGAUUAAUGCUUAUUCUUUUACUUGGACCCUGGAAGGGCCGGUUAGACUCCGCCUUAACUAUCUCUUCUCAAUGGAUGGAAAUUAUCUCCAGAGUCAAAAGACUGAGGUCAAAAAAUUGGACGAAUAGACCCUAUAGAGCUUUAUUAAGAUGGAAGAUGAAUGGGCUUGCUGUUAACUUUUAUCUUUAUUGUCGUUGUAUUAAGUUGGGGGGACAUAAAGAUAUAAGAAACUCUUUAUUUAUAUUUACAUUUAUUUAUGGCUUAAUGAUCCAGUAUCAGAGAUUGAAAGAUAAAGUUACCUUAGGGAUAACAGCGUUUCCACUUGAGAGUUCAUAUCGAAAGAGGAGUUUGCGACCUCGAUGUUGGACUAAGAAAAUCAUUAAAUGUAGCAGUUAUGUUAAUAAGUCUGUUCGACUUUAUAAUUCUUAC